ACAGAGCAUUUUGUACCUAGUGGGGCGGGUCAUGUUGGAGGGUAUGCCAUGUCUCGGCGGCACUUGCUUCAGUGCAGAGGAUUCCUAGAAAACCUAUCAUGCAGUUCCACAGCGAUGAAGUCUGGCCCCUGACCUCCAUUGUAGAGUAAGAGACCAUCAGGAUGUCGUCCCCGGAACAUGAAGAGAAGAUGCAUAGAGGCAUAGGCUUGGAGCCGCGGAAGGGCUAGAUGAGCUGGCCCUGAACGAAAGACUACAGGAUCAGCUAACAGUGGACGAAGACCUCCAGCUCGAGCAUUGAGCUCACAACGUCUGCCUAAUUCACCAUCCUGACAUAAGUCAAGAUAUGGGGCACCAUUAUAGCGCAAAGCUGUCAGGUGACCCAAGAAGUUUGAGGGUGGAGCUGAAAGGAAACGACGCUCCGUCAUUAUCCCAGUUUCCAGAUGGUGAAGCUCCAGUCGGGUGUGGUCACCAGCCAUAUGACCUUGAGAAGAAAGAAUGAAAACAGAAAAUCUCAUAAGUAAACAAGAACUAAAAAGAAUAUAAAACAAUCUCUGUUUUCAUGUGAGAUUGUAUAAAAUAUGGCUGUACACUGCAGUAACAGUUUGCUUUAAUAUUAUUUGCUGUCAUUUAUGUUAUGUUAUUUAUCAUCUUUAUGGAAUAUCUACAUUUUAUUUAUUAACUUACACUGUAUACAUCUAAUUACUCAUUAAAGUAAUUAUUGUACUGUA
Pseudophryne corroboree (corroboree frog) is the source of this 728-nucleotide long non-coding RNA. RefSeq lists it as uncharacterized. The transcript has 2 exons. The record is from RefSeq and is a predicted model, not a curated record. Lineage: Eukaryota; Metazoa; Chordata; Amphibia; Anura; Myobatrachidae.